AGUCGAGGGGUAUAGUUAGCUUGCUAACUUGAGACCGGCGCACGGGUGCGUAACGCGUAUGCAAUCUACCUUUCACAAAGGGAUAGCCCAGAGAAAUUUGGAUUAAUACCUUAUAGUAUAUAUGAAUGGCAUCAUUUAUAUAUUAAAGAUUUAUCGGUGAAAGAUGAGCAUGCGUCCCAUUAGCUAGUUGGUAAGGUAACGGCUUACCAAGGCAACGAUGGGUAGGGAUCCUGAGAGGGAGAUCCCCCACACUGGUACUGAGACACGGACCAGACUCCUACGGGAGGCAGCAGUGAGGAAUAUUGGACAAUGGGCGCAAGCCUGAUCCAGCCAUGCCGCGUGCAGGAUGACGGUCCUAUGGAUUGUAAACUGCUUUUAUACGAGAAGAAACACUCCGACGUGUCGGAGCUUGACGGUAUCGUAAGAAUAAGGAUCGGCUAACUCCGUGCCAGCAGCCGCGGUAAUACGGAGGAUCCAAGCGUUAUCCGGAAUCAUUGGGUUUAAAGGGUCCGUAGGCGGUCAGGUAAGUCAGUGGUGAAAGCCCAUCGCUCAACGGUGGAACGGCCAUUGAUACUGUCUGACUUGAAUUAUUAGGAAGUAACUAGAAUAUGUAGUGUAGCGGUGAAAUGCUUAGAGAUUACAUGGAAUACCAAUUGCGAAGGCAGGUUACUACUAAUGGAUUGACGCUGAUGGACGAAAGCGUGGGUAG
Molecule: ribosomal RNA, 709 nt
Filed under: uncultured bacterium
Lineage: Bacteria
Description: bacterial SSU rRNA
Rfam family: Bacterial small subunit ribosomal RNA
Source: RNAcentral